UGGGGAAUUUUUCCGCAAUGGGCGAAAGCCUGACGGAGCAAUGCCGCGUGGAGGUGGAAGGCCUACGGGUCGUCAACUUCUUUUCUCGGAGAAGAAACAAUGACGGUAUCUGAGGAAUAAGCAUCGGUUAACUCUGUGCCAG
RNAcentral lists this ribosomal RNA (142 nucleotides) under uncultured bacterium. RNAcentral describes it as "partial 16S rRNA". It matches the Rfam family "Bacterial small subunit ribosomal RNA", at positions 355 to 511 of the family's 1533-position model. The record is from RNAcentral.